This is a long non-coding RNA of Gallus gallus (chicken), 692 nucleotides long. NCBI's taxonomy places the organism in Eukaryota, Metazoa, Chordata, Aves, Galliformes, Phasianidae. The record is from Ensembl.
UACAAACAUUAUUUCAGUUUUUCUACACGGGUGAUAAAGCUGAAGAUCGACUGGAAAAUGGUCUGUAUGCUUCCACAAGUAAAUGCUUGUGAGAACAUGGCCAUCAAAAGGAAUUAAUUUACAAGAAGGAUGCGUAAUAAAUUUGGAACCUGCUAUGAAUUUUCAAAAACAUCUCCUACUGUUGUGACCCAGUCCUCUGUGGUGGUUUUCUGAUGGACCAUGACUUGCUCUUGGAUUCUGCUGACUGGGUGAGGUUGAAUACGUGCAAUCUUGAGUAAUACCUAUGUAAGGAACAACGUUGGAUUCACGUACCUGAUUGUAGAGCAAUGGUAACUUGUUUCACUGAUAGCUCUGGGAAAGGACAUAAUGAAUGCCCUUGGUUGGCUUUCUCCUCUUCAUUUUGUGCUCACAAAGACUGAAGUAUUUCAGCAUACUGAUGGACAAUGGACUGCCAGUGCAGACAGACAUCCAAAUUCAUCUUGGAAGAGUCAAGUUCUUAACUGUAGCAAAAAUAGCAAUUAUUUAUGGAGCAGCAUUAUAAUAGGCAUUAUGAAUUUGCAGAAGUCUUCACUGCACACAAAAUAUCAUUUUACUUGUACUAGAAAUUUCAUUUUUUUACAUUUUCUAGGUAGUUUGUUGUCUUCUUCAAACAGAGGCUGGUUUUCCUAGACAGGAGAAGGUAUUUUGCUGUG